RNAcentral lists this ribosomal RNA (528 nucleotides) under uncultured Pseudomonas sp. RNAcentral describes it as "bacterial SSU rRNA". It matches the Rfam family "Bacterial small subunit ribosomal RNA", at positions 9 to 529 of the family's 1533-position model. The record is from RNAcentral. Lineage: Bacteria; Pseudomonadati; Pseudomonadota; Gammaproteobacteria; Pseudomonadales; Pseudomonadaceae.
GAGUUUGAUCAUGGCUCAGAUUGAACGCUGGCGGCAGGCCUAACACAUGCAAGUCGAGCGGAUGACGGGAGGUUGCUCCUUGAUUCAGCGAAAAACGGGUGGGUNAUGCCUNGGNAUCUGCAAAAAAGAGGGGGACAACGUUUCGAAAGGAACGCUAAUACCGCAUACGUCCUACGGGAGAAAGCAGGGGACCUUCGGGCAUAAAGCUAUCAGAUGAGCCUAGGUCGGAUUAGCUAGUUGGUGGGGUAAUGGCUCACCAAGGCGACGAUCCGUAACUGGUCUGAGAGGAUGAUCCAGUCACACUGGAACUGAGACACGGUCCAGACUCCUACGGGAGGCAGCAGUGGGGAAUAUUGGACAAUGGGCGAAAGCCUGAUCCAGCCAUGCCGCGUGUGUGAAGAAGGUCUUCGGAUUGUAAAGCACUUUAAGGGGGGAGGAAGGGCAGUAAGUUAAUACCUUGCUGUUUUGAGGGUACCGACAGAAUAAGCACCGGCUAACUCUGUGCCAGCAGCCGCGGUAAAGGGCGAA